This 418-nucleotide unclassified non-coding RNA is filed under the name soil metagenome. RNAcentral describes it as "partial contains 5.8S ribosomal RNA, internal transcribed spacer 2, and large subunit ribosomal RNA". The stretch from base 1 to 120 matches the Rfam family "5.8S ribosomal RNA", at positions 35 to 154 of the family's 154-position model. The record is from RNAcentral.
GAUGAAGAACGUAGCGAAAUGCGAUAAGUAAUGUGAAUUGCAGAAUUCAGUGAAUCAUCGAAUCUUUGAACGCACCUUGCGCUCCUUGGUAUUCCAAAGAGCAUGCCUGUUUGAGUAUCAUUAAAUUAUCAACUGUACCAAUUUGGUUGCAGAUUGGAUGUGGGAGAUUUUGCAGGCUUUUGAUUUCUCUUUGAGAAAACGGUCAGCUCUCCUGAAAUAUAUUAGCAGUGCCUUUGUUGGUUCAUUAGGUGUGAUAAUUUAUCUACAUCUUCACAUGGUACCUUCAUUUGUGUAAAGGUCAUAUUGCUUCUAAUUGUCUUUGGAUAUAAAAAAAAAAAAACAUAUAAUUGUAUGGAAAACUUGAUCUCAAAUCAGGCAGGACUACCCGCUGAACUUAAGCAUAUCAAUAAGCGGAGGA